UCAGGAUGAACGCUGGCGGCGUGCUUAACACGUGCAAGUCGAACGGGGUACCCUGGAAAGAGUUUCGGACAAUGGAAGGGGUUACUUAGUGGCGGACGGGUGAGUAACGCGUGAGGAACCUGCCUUGGAGUGGGGAAUAACAGUCAGAAAUGAUUGCUAAUACCGCAUAAAGCAGAGGGGCUGCAUGGUCCAACUGCCAAAGAUUUAUCGCUCUGAGAUGGCCUCGCGUCUGAUUAGAUAGUUGGCGGGGUAACGGCCCACCAAGUCGACGAUCAGUAGCCGGACUGAGAGGUUGACCGGCCACAUUGGGACUGAGAUACGGCCCAGACUCCUACGGGAGGCAGCAGUGGGGAAUAUUGGGCAAUGGGCGCAAGCCCUGACCCAGCAACGCCGCGUGAAGGAAGAAGGCCUUCGGGUUGUAAACUUCUUUUAACAGGGACGAAGGAGUGACGGUACCUGUUGAAUAAGCCACGGCUAACUACGUGCCAGCAGCUGC
Molecule: ribosomal RNA, 496 nt
Filed under: uncultured bacterium
Lineage: Bacteria
Description: bacterial SSU rRNA
Rfam family: Bacterial small subunit ribosomal RNA
Source: RNAcentral